This is a non-coding RNA of Manis javanica (Malayan pangolin), 6084 nucleotides long. Lineage: Eukaryota; Metazoa; Chordata; Mammalia; Pholidota; Manidae. The record is from RefSeq and is a predicted model, not a curated record.
GCAGUGUAAAUAUAAAUGGAAAUCUAAUUACUUUAUUAUUGGUUCUUCUCUGUUGUAGUCAAUAACUCUAGUUUAUUUUGGUCAAAAAGUGGCUCAGAACUUUGAACAUCAUGAUAUGAAAUGGAAUGCUUUUAGACAAAAUACUGGAAAACUUUUCAAUGAACGAUAUAUUGCAAAAGGAAUAUAAAGAUAAAAUGAAUAUAAAAGUUCAACCAGAAAAAUAAUUGCACAUUAAAAUAUUUAAGAAUAUUACAAAGAAAGAAGUAGCUGCCUACUCAAUGUUAUUAAGAAGAAUUAUAUAACAUAGCAUGAACUUGGAAAUAUGCUGAUGUAAAGCUAAGAGGGAACAUAAGUCCAUGCAUUAACACUUAUGCUUUGAUUUAGAGGAUACAGGGAAAGAACACUUGUAAUAAACUCCCCAAAAUAGAAGAGCAAAAAGAAUAGCAUGGAAGAACAGUUAGAGGUGCUUGUAAUAGGCAGCGUCUGUCUUCUGAGUCAGGGCUUUGCAUCUUCACUCUGCUAUUCAACCGGCUGUGUGACCUUGGGGAGUAGUACCUAACCUCGAAAGGAUGAACACGUAUGUGUAUGUGUAACAUGUUUUCACUGCAAUGAUACAUAAUAUGUCCAUUCAUCUAAUCAUAAAUAUGUAUAUUAUCUUUUACAGAUAAUAUAUUAUUAUGGCAAAAAAAUGGGCAGAGAACAUAAGUGUGACAACAGUAACAGUGUCCAAAAGAGUUUUAUUUUAAGCCUACAGGUUUUGAAUUUCAGAGGAAAUAGAAAAGAUCCUUCCUACCAUACCGUAAUUAAGAAAGUUGUUAAUUAUGAUUCCUUUUCAUUCCUAUACAGUUUAGAGGGGGAGACAUUCAGAGUUUUUAUUGACUAUAUCUACAUCUGCCUUCUUGGCAGUCAGUUUUUCCACUAAUUUCCUCAAAAUACUGCCAAGUAUUUAGUUCAUUAUCCUGACAGUGUUGUGGUUGAUGAUGUUCGUGCCUACUAUGUGGCCCCAUUCUCCCUUCGUAAUGGAACCCCACGUGUGAUCAUAUGGCUACCCCUUCUUCUCUCAGCUCCUGUACUGCAGGAGAGGCUGAUUUCUCCCCCAGCUCCAGGGCUUGGCCUGAUUGGUCUAAGAAAAGAGGUGAAUUCCAGUGAUUAUUUGCCAAGAGAAGGAUUCACUGCUGAGAGCUGAGUUCAGAUGUUACCUCCUCUGAGAAGGCUGUAUAGAUUCUCCUGAAGCCAUUCAGUCCCGCUAAUGCCCUCAUCCUACAGCUGCAGCAUAGCAUUAACCUCACUUUAUUCUGUUUGACCUUUUAGGUAACUAUCUUCUCACUAGCCUAUAUCCUCAAGAGUAGACCCCCAGUUUUACAAAAUUUUGGACCUCAGUUCCUAGCACAAGAUCUAACAUAGGGACAAUCAGUAAAAAUUUCUUGCACCCUAAGUUAAAUUAAGGUCUUCUAGGGAAUGUGCCUAGUUUCUGCCAUUUACCUAAAAGUCUGGAGACAGUUACCUUUCACCUCCUCUAUGUAAUGCAAAUGUUUGCAGUUCACAGUGGUUAAUAAAUUGCAUUUUGAAGUUUGACCAUCUGCAUUCAAAUUCCAGCUCCACUGCCAAGCAACCUUGACGAAAUUACUUAAUAUCUCCAAGUUUCAAUUUCUUCAGCUAUAAAGUUGGUGCAAUAAUAGAACCUACUUCAUGGGGGCUUGAUGAGGAUCCAGUAAAAAAGUGAAAAAAUUUUAUAAAACUCUUAGUAAAAUGUCUGGUUUGUAACACACAUUUCCAUCUUUAUAUACAUGGUUUUAACAUUAGCUGUUAUUAUUACUGUUGUAUUAUUAGCUACUUAAAUAUUUUACCUUCAUUGUGAUUAGAUUUACAUUUCAAGUAAUAAUGAGUUUGCUAUACAAAUGAAAGAUAUUGAUUUACAGUAGCUUUGGAAAAAUUCCAGGUAGAAUAUUCCAGGUAAACAAGAAGCAUUCAUGCCAGGAUUGUACUUUUACUGUUCAUAUGCCAUCUUUUUUGCAGGAAAGUAAGGUUAAAUCUCUAGCAGUCUUCGACCCAUCAUUUGAAUUCAUUGGUGGCUUAUCUUCAGGAUAGCAGCAUGUGAAUGUCUUACUACAUAAACUCUAGAAUUCAAAUAAACAGUUGAUUGUGAUGGAGAAAAAAUGUGAAUAGUAUUUUACUGUGUAUUCAAAAUGCUGCAAACAUCCCCAUAUUUCCAUGCAUAAUGUAUUAUUGUAGAUAAGUUUGGAUUAUGAAAGAUUUAGAAAAUGGACCAUUCACUAAAAAUGCUGAUUACUUUGUAUUGUUCAGCUAACUCCUUAUUUUUUCUUCCCAAUUCCACCUAAAAAUUUUUAAGUAUGGUGGGAAUAUGUGUAGGUAUGUGAUUACCAGAGGAAAAUUUAUUUAUAUGUUUAACAAUGCUUCUAGGGGAAAAAGUCCCCAAAUAUGCCAAGUUUAUUAGAAUUCCAAAGAAUCUCAUGUGACUAUGUUUAUGGUGGUUCUUUAAUAUUAGUUCUUUGAAAUAAUCAGGUUGAAAAUAUUUUGUUGGAACUAAUAGAGACUGUUAAAAACUAAACUGUUAUUUUUGGUUGGACUACAGAAAAAUUGAACUUAUUUUGGAAAUGGACCAUUAAACUCUAUUCUUUGUAAACUUCAUGUGUAGGAAAGAAAAAACAAAUAUAAGAUAAACUUGCAGAUUCAAGCAUGCCAUUUGCAAGAGAGAAAGCAACUAGAAGCCAGCAACAGUCUCCUCAGAGAUGCUCUAAAUUUGGUCUGAAUUUCAUGAGCUUUUGUAUGCACUUACAUAUUGCCAUGAACUUGGGAGUCUUUCUCUGAAUGCUAGAGACUGUGUGUGAAAUGUUUAAUUCAUUUUUAAUCAGUACUCCCACCUGCCUUAAUGGGGUUGCGUGUACUAUCUCUACUAUUUUAAUUUUACACCUUAAAAUUCUUUCCCAAAUUAAAAAAAGAAAAAAAAUCAAGCCUUUUGUGUGUCAGCAGUACCUAAAAUAAUUGGUCUUUUUUCAACAUGUUAAGGAAAGGAGGAUAAGGAGAGAAAGAAGGGAAAGCAGUGCAUUUGUUCACAUAAGGAAGUGAGGCAGGAGUAGCAAUUCAUAGACUCAGUAAAGAUAAAAAUCUUUUUAAUAUUUAAUUACGUUACCCUCCACCCACUCUACAUGUUGAUUUUUGAAGCACAAAAUGAAGUCUAUUAUACUAGUCCCCCUUUGUGUACGGGGGAUGUGUUCCAAGACCCCCUAGGAAUGCCUGAAACCACAGGUAGUACUGAACCCUAUAUAUACUAUAUUUUCCUACAAGUGCCUACCUAUGGUAAAGUUUAACUGUAAAUUAGACACAAUAAGAGAUUAACAACAAUAACUGAUAAUAAAAUAGAACAAUUAUAACAACAUCCUGUAAGAAAAAAUUAUUUGAAUGUGGUCUCUCUCAAAAUAUUGUAUUAUACUGUACUCACCUUCCUUCCUGUGAUAAUGCUAGGUGAUAGAAUGCCUACGUUGAAGAGAGGAAGUAAGGUGAAUGACUUGGGCUGCUGUUGACCUUCUGGCAGUAUGUCAGAAGGAGGAUUAUCUGCUUCCCAGCUGCAGCUGACCACAGAAUACUGUCAGUCUCUAAAUGACACUGGAACAUCACUGAUUAUCACCCUUUAAAGAUGCCUUAAAACUACAGAACUACUGAGAGAGAGAAGAAUAUUUGCAAAGAACAACAGUGCAAUGGGAAAAUUAGAGGCUUACCCAUGAAGACUAAGGAUUCUCAAAAUAGGCUCCUCAAAACUGUGGGGAACCCCGAGGCCCUGUCAGAGAGAUAUGCAAGGUCAAAAAUAUUUUCACAUGAACACUACGUUGUUAUUUGUUUCUUUUCAUUGUGUUGACAUUGCAUACGUGGUGCAGAAGCAACAGCUGAUUCAUGCUGGAGCUUUAGAAUGAAUCAAGGCAGUAACACAAAAUACACUAGCAGCCACUGUGUUCUUCAACAGCAUACACUCAUAGAAAAAAAAAAGGCAGUUUCACUUAAGAAUACUCUUGAUUAAGCAGUAAAAAGUAUUGAUUUUGUUAAAUCUCACCCCCUGGGUACACAUUUAGAAUAAUACUCUGUGAGGUGAAAUGGGAAAUACACACCCAACACUUCUGCUGCAUAAUGAAGUAUGACAGUUGUCUGGAGGAAAAUCUACUGUUUUGCGUUGCAAGCUGAGCUGGCUGCUUUUUCAUUAAACACCCUUUAUACUUGAGAGAAAAACUUGACAAACUAUAAUUAUCCAUACUUAGAUAUUUGUCAGGCAUUUUCUCAAAAGUGAGUGAAGUGAGCUUGUUACUUUCAGGAUACAACUGACAGUAUUGUUGCCAGCGAUAAAAAUCAAGCUUUUGAGUAAAAAUUAGAAUGUUGUAAACCUUUUAUUUGCCACUAUGAGCUUGAGAGCUCUCCAGUAUUUAACUAAUUUUUUGAUGAGUCUGGUGGUUAUUGACAAAUGUAAUUUUUAAAUACUAUGUAAUAAAAUAAAAUGUGUCAACUUUCAGACAAUCUACAUUACCCAGUGAACCAUUGUUUUCCAAAUGCCCAAUGAUGUCACAAAAUCAUGCAUCAGUAAAAUGUCCAUUCAAAGUGCAAGCUAGACUUCUUUAAUAUCACAGGGUAAGAAAAGUUUAUUGAUGUGGUUUUAGAUCCACACUGCAAAAAUUCUUAAAGAAACUACCGCUUGUUGAGUUUUGGUAUAAUACCAAAGAAGAAUAUUCACAAGCUAUUAAAAUACUCCUUCCUUUUUCAACGAUGUAACUAUGUGAGAUUAGAUUUUCCUCAUCUGUUUCAAACAAAAUGAUUUAUGGCAACAGAUUGAAUGGGGAAGCAGAUAAGAGAAUCCAUAUGAAUUCUCUUAAACCAGAUGUUGUUAAAGAGAUUAAUUAGUAUGGUAUAAAAUAAUGCCACUCUUCCCACUCAACUUAUUAUUUUGUAAAUAUAGUGGUUUUUUUCAUAAAAAUAUGUAAUUAUGUUAUAUAAUAGGUUUAUUAUUUUUAAAUGAAUAGCUAUUUCUAAGUUUUCUUAGUUUUAUUUUUCUAAUUAUUAGAUAUACUAAUAAACAUAACCCACAUAACUGAAAGAUCUUUGGGGUCCUUAAUAACUUUUAAGAGUGUGAAUGGGUUGAGAACAAGUUUGCUAUUCAUUGCUACAAACCAGAGUAAUAGUAUUUAAUACUCUGACAUUUCUUUUUUUUCCUACUUGAUGUCAUUUGACUAUCCCUUAUCAUUUUCUCCAAUGAAAACUGUAGUUUGAUUAUCUUAAUUAUCUUGUUAAAAUGGUAUAAGUUUUUUCACAGCAGUAGAAUUCUUAUCUUUUAAGUGAGACAUUGGUUGAAUUUCUAAUCAGUCAAUGGCCAUGUUCUCUUUACAGUGUUCUAGUGUAGUGCUUAAUAUAUAUAGUACAGAAACUCAAUACCUGUUAUUGACUGGCACAUAACGUGGUUAACAACGAAGUCAAUAUAAGUGCCAAAAACAUACGAAAGCUAGAGGGGGAUAAAAAGCUCUGUUUAUUGCUUUAUCCAUUUGUAAGCAUAAUUCCUGGAUUUAAUCCAUUCCCACAGAAAGCUCACAUAGUUUUUGUCUCUAUUAACAUUUAAACACAAACAUCCUCUUCUAGCUAAAGAUCUGUUUCUCUGGGAGACCAUAAUAAUCAUCACAUACAUUAUAUAUCUUGAAUUAAUGCAAGGCUUUUCUCAUGACAUUUGGGCACAUAGAUCACAAUAAGCUUCUACCUUUCUUUCCUCCCAAUACCUCACAACCAACUCAUUUCCAUUACAUCCUCUAAAUUUCUCACAAAAUGGAAAGUUAAAAAACAGAACUGCAACCAGUCAUUAAUGGCUCACAGACUGAAUAGGUACAGAAGGAAAGUAGUUUCUUAUUGUGGGGUCAAACCUUCUUUUAAAAGUUAUGAAAUCCUUGAGAUCUUAAUAAAAUACCUUACCACAUAUCUGAGAGUAUUUUUAGUCUCAAUGUUUCAAGGCAAAUAACUUAAAAAUGCAAAUUCUAAGCAAUGUAAAAUGCAGUAAAUAAAUGCACAGAACCAUUUUUAUUUAUAAUUUGUUUCUAUAGU